AUUGAACGCUGGCGGCAUGCUUUACACAUGCAAGUCGAACGGUAACAGGUCUUUCGGGAUGCUGACGAGUGGCGAACGGGUGAGUAAUGUAUCGGAACGUGCCCAGGUAGUGGGGGAUAACUACUCGAAAGAGUGGCUAAUACCGCAUGAGAUCUCUGGAUGAAAGCGGGGGACCUAAGGCCUCGCGCUACUGGAGCGGCCGAUAUCAGAUUAGGUUGUUGGUGAGGUAAAGGCUCACCAAGCCGACGAUCUGGUAGCUGGUCUGAGAGGACGACCAGCCACACUGGGACUGAGACACGGGCCCAGACUCCUACGGGAGGCAGCAGUGGGGAAUUUUGGACAAUGGGCGCAAGCCUGAUCCAGCAAUGCCGCGUG
This 375-nucleotide ribosomal RNA is filed under the name uncultured bacterium. Its description in RNAcentral is "bacterial SSU rRNA". It matches the Rfam family "Bacterial small subunit ribosomal RNA", at positions 30 to 403 of the family's 1533-position model. The record is from RNAcentral.